CGGGAUGUAGCGCAGCCCGGUAGCGCGCGUCGUUCGGGACGACGAGGCCGCAGGUUCGAAUCCUGUCAUCCCGACCA
This 77-nucleotide transfer RNA is filed under the name Paraflavitalea soli. Its description in RNAcentral is "tRNA-Pro". It matches the Rfam family "tRNA". Rfam says of the family: Transfer RNA (tRNA) molecules are approximately 80 nucleotides in length. The record is from RNAcentral. Lineage: Bacteria; Pseudomonadati; Bacteroidota; Chitinophagia; Chitinophagales; Chitinophagaceae.